UCGCAUCUGUGCAUGCAGCAUAUCAAUAAGCGGAGGAAAAGAAACUAACAAGGAUUCCCCUAGUAACGGCGAGUGAAGCGGGAAGAGCUCAAAUUUGAAAUCUUAAAGGGUUUCCCUUUACGAAUUGUAGUUUAAAGAAGUGUUUUCUGUUGAGGUUUUGGUAAAAGUUCUUUGGAAUAGAACAUCAUAGAGGGUGAGAAUCCCGUAUUUGACCUUUACUUUCAACUUUGUGAUACACUUUCAAAGAGUCGGAUUGUUUGGGAAUGCAGUCCAAAAUGGGUGGUAAAUUUCAUCUAAAGCUAAAUAUUGGCGAGAGACCGAUAGCGAACAAGUACCGUGAGGGAAAGAUGAAAAGAACUUUGAAAAGAGAGUUAAACAGUACGUGAAAUUGUCAAAAGGGAAGCGUUUGACACCAGUGUUGUUUUUCUGAAAAUCAAUUAAAGAACUGUUUAUGCUAAGCUGUUUAGACUUUAUCAGCUAUCUGUUUAGUUUUGAGCUUUUCUUUAAUGCACUUUUCAGUUAACAAGUCAACAUCAAUUUCUUUUGCUGUAAAAAAGCUUGAGGAAGGUGGCUUGAGAUUCGUCUUAAGUGUUUAUAGCCUCUUGCCUAUGCAGUCGGAGAGAUUGAGGUCUGCAGCGUAGAUCCUUCGGGGCUAAAUGCAUUUGUGCUAAGUUAUAGCAUUUUAUAGACAACUUGUUGACUAUGAUUUGUCUUGUAGCUUACUCGCUUAUGUUAUUUUACCUACGCUUAGGAUGUUGAAUCUGUGCGAGACUAC
RNAcentral lists this ribosomal RNA (775 nucleotides) under uncultured Neocallimastigales. Its description in RNAcentral is "partial large subunit ribosomal RNA". It matches the Rfam family "Eukaryotic large subunit ribosomal RNA", at positions 24 to 644 of the family's 3401-position model. Lineage: Eukaryota; Fungi; Neocallimastigomycota; Neocallimastigomycetes; Neocallimastigales. The record is from RNAcentral.